Molecule: ribosomal RNA, 958 nt
Filed under: uncultured bacterium
Lineage: Bacteria
Description: bacterial SSU rRNA
Rfam family: Bacterial small subunit ribosomal RNA
Source: RNAcentral
GAGUUUGAUCAUGGCUCAGGAUGAACGCUGGCGGCAUGCCUAAGACAUGCAAGUCGAACGGAGUAAUCCAAUGAAGCAGAUGUGCUUGCACAAAUGUGGAUUUGAAAUUACUUAGUGGCGAACGGGUGAGUAACACGUGGGUAAUCUACCUAUGAGUUUGGAACAACACAGGGAAACUUGUGCUAAUACCAAAUAACAAAUAGAGAUAAUUUCUUUAUUUUGAAAGGUGCCUUUAAAGCACCGCUUGUAGAUGAGCCUGCGGCGUAUUAGUUAGUUGGUGGGGUAAUGGCCUACCAAGACUUCGAUGCGUAGCCGAACUGAGAGGUUGAUCGGCCACACUGGGACUGAGACACGGCCCAGACUCCUACGGGAGACAGCAGUUAGGAAUAUUCGUCAAUGGGGGAAACCCUGAACGAGCGAUGUCGCGUGAGUGAAGAAGGUCCUUUGGAUCGUAAAACUCUGUUGUAUGGGAAGAACAGCCAAAUUAGGAAAUGAAUUUGGUCUGACGGUACCAUGCCAGAAAGCUCCGGCAAACUAUGUGCCAGCAGCCGCGGUAAUACAUAGGGAGCGAGCGUUAUCCGGAUUUAUUAGGCGUAAAGCGUGUGUAGGCGGUUUAUUAAGUAUGGAAUCAAAGCCUGGAGCUCAACUCCAGUUCGUUUCAUAAACUGAUAGACUUGAGUAUGGUAGAGGCAAAUGGAAUUUCUAGUGUAGCGGUAAAAUGUGUAGAUAUUAGAAGGAACAUCAGUGGCGAAGGCGAUUUGCUGGGCCAUUACUGACGCUGAGACACGAAAGCGUGGGGAGCAAAUAGGAUUAGAUACCCUAGUAGUCCACGCUGUAAACGAUGAGUACUAAGUGUCGGAUUUUCCGGUGCUGAAGUUAACACAUUAAGUACUCCGCCUGAGUAGUACAGUCGCAAGACCGAAACUCAAAGGAAUUGACGGGCACCCGCACAGCGGUG